CUCAACCUCCUGACCUCAAAUGAUCUGUCUGCCUUGGCCUCAAAAGCUUUGGGAUUGCAGGUGUGAGCCAUGGUGCCAGGCAGACCACUUCAUUAACCAGAUGAGGAAACGGAGGCUGAGAGGUGGAGUGGUUUGCCCAAUGCAACCUGGUGAAUUGGAGGAAAGGAUGUCUAAGUGCAUAGAAAUGGAAGCAGGUUGGAAAUUAAAUACCACGCCCACCUCGGGAUAUAUUUUAGCACCGGUGUUUUUCUCUUUCCCAGGGCAUUCUCCAAUAAGCAUUUGCUGUGUCCCCCGGCACCCGCUUCUCCUGUCCUGACCUUCCUGCAGAUGCAGUUUGGAGACCGCUCAGGUUCCCGGGUCACUGAUGAGCAUCCCUGCAGGCCUCCCACUGUCCUCCACUUGGUGGCCAACUCCAGCCCUCCUCCCUAGCUUGGCUUUUUCCAUGAGUCAUUUUUAAAUCUUUGUAUAAGGCCUAUUUGGAUAAAAACAGGAAGGCAGGCAAGCCAGCCAGCCCUGGAGGCCAUCCCUGGGCUCUUAGGAGAUGAAAGUCUGCAAACACGAUCCCAGGUGUCUGUGCGCCAUCUGCCCCCGCACCCCCCAGCUGCUGACCAGGAGGACCUUGGAAUCUGAUGAAUCCGGGACUGUUUGAAUGUUGGAAAUUCCCCAUUGCCCCUUUCUCUAGAUCUUUUUAGGCCACACAAAUAGCAAGCUAUUUCCAAGUGUCACUCUCGGAAUAGAUUCCUUCUAGUCUGGGGUGGCAGGGAGGGGGUGGAAUAAGAGGUAAGCCUCCUGGUGCUCCAGAAGCCCCCUCUGUGGGCCCAGCAGGCCACCUUAACAUCUCCAAAACCUGUGGUUCUUGCAGGACAUGCCCUUUGCUUCGUAUUCUCCUGGGCUCACUGUGCAUAACCAAGUGUGCAAUUCUCCAGUUCUCCCAAAUGCAUGUCCUCCCUUGCAGGCAGCAUUUUUCAGAGGACACAAGGCAGCUGCUUCCUUAAGGAUCACCUGGGAUCACAUUCAGACUGGAGAUGUUGCCAGAAGCAAAUCCACCUCUGUGUGGACUCUGGUUGACCCAGGAGUUCCUCUACUCCUGAGGGAACUGCUGAGGGGCUUGGGCCGUGACUCCAGGACCAAGGGUUUUGGGGAGGGACUUUCCUUCCCUGGCCAAGGAAAAGGAAAUGGGGCUACCCACGGCUACUCUGGGAGGCUAGAGGCUCCUUUGUCUACCGGGCACCCUUUCCAAGGCUCUGUUCUCAGGGCUUCUCGAAACACCCACUUUAAUCAGAGUUCAGCUGGAUUUGAAGGUUGACAUGAUUAGAUGUGUCAAAAAAUGUUAAAGUCGAAUAACACCCAAUGCUGUCAAGAAUGUGGAGAAAAGGAGACAGGUAUGCAUUGUUGAUGUGAGUGUCAAUUGGUAACCAAUUUGGAGGGAGUUUGCUAGUCUCUAUUAGAAUGUGAAAUAGAUAUGCUCUCAGACUCAGCAAUUCCACUUCUAAGAGUCAAUUCUACAGAAAUAUGUGCCCAUGGACACAAAGAAUUGGGCAUGAAGAUGUUUGCAGAAAUGUUGUUUGCAACUGCAAAAUAAUUAAAAAGCCACCAAAUCGAAAAACCAAACACCUGGCAUUUGUCCCCAGCUUUACUGAGAUUUAAUGACAAGCCUCGGAUUUAGACACUGUGACAGUACUGGGGUAGGGUAUGCUUUGCCAUCACUAAAAAGAAUGACAUAAACCUACAGAUGCUGACUUUGAAGGACCUCAAAAUGGGACUUUUAAUGAAAAAAAAUAAAGGAUACAAUUAUG
This is a long non-coding RNA of Sapajus apella (tufted capuchin), 1796 nucleotides long. RefSeq lists it as uncharacterized. The record is from RefSeq and is a predicted model, not a curated record. The transcript is spliced from 2 exons. Lineage: Eukaryota; Metazoa; Chordata; Mammalia; Primates; Cebidae.